Molecule: long non-coding RNA, 489 nt
Filed under: Elaeis guineensis (African oil palm)
Lineage: Eukaryota; Viridiplantae; Streptophyta; Magnoliopsida; Arecales; Arecaceae
Description: long non-coding RNA (EGUI_LNC077661)
Source: RNAcentral
ACCUCGGUACUAGAGUCAAAAUAUUUGAUUCCAUAGAAUGAUAGAAAUAUCGAUGGAUUAUAGGUGGAAGGAAUAAAAUAUUCCUUCAUCUACCUAGGUGGUUCUUAGAAUUUCUAGCCAUUUGAUUAUCAUAUUUAGUAUGGAUCAGUCGUUUAAUUUCAGGAUUAGGUUCAACUAGGUCAGAAAAAAUUAUACCGUGCAUGUAUUAGUGCAAACCCUAAUAUGUGUGUUGUUAAGAUUUUUUUUUAAGGAGGAGAAAAAGAAGAGAAAAGAAAGAAAGAGAAAAGUUCUAAAGGUGAGAUCCUUAAGAAAAGUCUUAGACCUAAAGACAUAAGAUGAGAAGAAUUAGUUGUGAUUAAGUGUUAAUUGCAAUCAAGUUAGCAAAUAAUUAAACCUAGACACCUAUGGGUUUCUUAGACCUAACAGUUUGAUAUAGAGUGGCUUAGCCUAAAUACAAAAUGGACUUGUUCUCACUUCCUUUAACUAGCC